AAAUAGUGGAGCCAUCCGGCCGUAUUUCGGCUGGUUGACGUCACCGACCCGCUACCCGUGGAAGUUAUUUAUAGACGCGGAGAAAUUUGGCACGCGCGUCCCGGUCGGGUUAGUCGAGUCGAUUGUCGGGGACUAAACCGUCGCCGUUCUAGUCUGUCUUCUUUUCUUCGACUACGUCGACAGAUCGACAUGGCGGAGUUGGAGAAAAGAACGCGUAGUGUAACAACCUCCGGGGUGGAAAAGCGGUCGUCGAGUCGGCCCAACGAGAAAACCACGGACGGCGUGGAAACGGACCGCGUCACAUCCCCAGCCUCCAUCCGCCAUAACUACCAAAUGAACGGACUGGAGAACCGAAACCAGAUGUACGCCGAUCUUUCGGAUCGGGAUGGGGAGGACCAGGAGGAACUAGUCGAAGGAAUAAAGCCUUCGGUCGACCCUAACGAAGUGGCCAAGCGUUUCAGUCAGG
RNAcentral lists this long non-coding RNA (466 nucleotides) under Androctonus crassicauda. Lineage: Eukaryota; Metazoa; Arthropoda; Arachnida; Scorpiones; Buthidae. The record is from RNAcentral.